CCAUGUCUUGCAGACACACGAAUGCUAUGGACCAUGGACAGGAACCACAAGGACCACCAGGAGACAGCACUCAGGAUCCUUUUGGGACAGCAUAGGGAAUCAGGACCAAUGCCACGACAAAGACAGGACCAGGAUCAGCUUGCAGUGUAUCGAAGCGUGCACGAACCUGGGAAGACGUCUGAUGUUAACUACUGGUGAGCUAAAGCAGGCAGCUUGAAGGAGACGAGGGAUGAGACAAACAUCCUAAAAGUUCAUGUUAUGGCUGGUGCAUGGAAAGAACAUCUGUAUACAGGGGAUGUCAACUACAGAAGCCAACCAGGCACCGCAUCGAUCCCAGAAGGACAGAUCUGCUUGGAUGUACAGCACAGGUAUCGCCAAUCCCCAUUUGGGGAAUCACACGUUCAGCAAUUCCAAUGCCAGGUGUUUUCAGAUUUCCGACUGAGUUUGCCUGGUAAGAUCCCCUAAGCAUCUAUUUCUGUUCUCCUUCAACUACUAGAAUUGACACUCUUUGCCAUAUGUACCUGUGCUCCCAGCUUAGAGUCACAGGCCUUCUAGAAAGCAACAUAUGCUAUAUCAGACAGGAAAAUGAGCCAACCCUGGCCCCAUCCACCCCUAGCUGCCCAGUGCAGCACCAAGGGUGGACCCAUUAGGGUCUGUCUACACUCCAGUGUAAGCCCAAAGUUGGUAGGACAUGAGUCAGCUGACCCAUGUUAGAGAAUCCUGGGCUUGAAUGUCUACACUGGUUUUUAACCCUAUGUUCAGACUUUUCGAACCCAGGCUCGAACCUGUGGCUCUGGCAUCCAGACUGCAGCAUGCAGCCUUGAAUCAAAACCACCAUAUUGAGGAGUCCCUA
This 853-nucleotide long non-coding RNA is filed under the name Chrysemys picta bellii (western painted turtle). RNAcentral's name for it is "lncRNA (ENSCPBG00000007155.1)". The record is from RNAcentral. Lineage: Eukaryota; Metazoa; Chordata; Testudines; Emydidae.